CACUGUUUCAGAGGUCUUAGUCCAAAGAAGGCCAGCUCCAUUCCUCUGGGCUUGAGGUGAGGCAGAACAUCAUGGUGGAAGAGUAAUGGCGGAGGCAAGCAGUUCAUAUGAUAAUCAGGAAACAGAGAGAGACUCCACUCUCCAGGUACAAAAUAUAUACCUCACAGUCACUCCCCAAAUUUGCACCUCCUCCAGCCACACCCUACCCCUUCAGUUACCACUCAGUUAAUCCCUAUCAGGGGAUUAAUUCAUGGAUUCAGUUAAGACUCUUACAACCCAGUCAUUUCUUCUCUGAACCUUCUUGCCUUAUCAGUUUUUAUUAGGUUGAAUGUUUAGGAACCCAUGACUCUCAAUCUCUCCUGACCCUAGGAUUCAAUGACAUAAAGCAUCAUUUUCUGGUAAUGGGAACACCACAGAGGGCUUCCCAAGCUCCAGUGGCCGCCAUCUUGUCCUAGAGGGAAGCUAGCCGUCUCUCUCAGGUGAACACUGUCUGCCUCAGUCAGGUCAAACCCAACAACCCAGACCCAAGAGAAGCUGUCUGAGGCCUUCUCAAACAGCCACCCUUCCCUGAGCAAAGUUCAUCUGAUUCAGGAAAAAGGGUCUCAGUCCCAGCAUAAGAACACCACAGGCCUCAGGAGGGAGUGUUCUGGGAAGAGGUUGAAGAGAGGCCAGGAAAAAGCCAGGACAAAGGCAUAAUAUUCUGGAAGCUUUGCCUCCACGAGCGCUGGGUCUUCCAGAAGGACUAACUAGUGUAGGGCCAUGACUGCCCCUCGGCCAGCUCCCUGGGCUGCUCUCAGAGGCGGCAUUACAGCAGCAGAAUCGCUGCCUGUUCCUCCACACUGUGGAUUGUUAGCAGGUUCUAAAUAGGCCAUUCAUUUUUUCGGCUUNAAGGAGGACAUGACUACAGCCUGUCUGGACAGGACACUGGUUUCCUGGGACCUGUGCUUAACUGAUGGGUGGAGGCGGGGGUUUAUUUUCCCAGCAUCUCUUCCUGGUUUUCCAUCAUGGGUGGGCCCAUGACCCAGGCUGGACAAUAGUCUCAGGGAUUCAUCUGGGGAAAGCAUGUGAUUCAAACAGAACCAUCCAAGUUGUUUCGUGGGAUUUUUAUAUGAAUGCUUUGUGGAUGCUUCCAAAGUUGCAGGGGGCCAAGUAGCCCUGUUUCUCCAAGGAGAGAAAGUUGUUUGAGGUAGGAGAGAAUGAGGACACUCUUCGGGGAUGACAACCCAAGAUUAGGCAUAAAUAUAGACGGUCCCCAACUUCCAAGUCACAUUUUUUGAACUUUACUAUAAUGUAAAAGUGAUCUGAAUUCAGUGGGAACCAUACUUUAAAUUUAUAAUUUUGAUCUUUUUAAAAUUAACUUUUUAAUUUAUAUAUGACAGUGGAAUGCAUUACAAUUCUUAUUACACAUAAUAAGCACAAUUUUUCAUAUCUCUGGUUGUAUACAAAGUAUAUUCACACCAAUUCAUGUCUUCAUACAUGUACUUUGGAUAAUAAUGUCCAUCACAUCCCACCAUCAUUAAUAUUUUUAUUUAUUUUUAUGUGGUGCUGAAGAUGGAACCCAGUGCCUCACACAGGCUGGGUAAGCGCUCUACCACUGAGCCACAACCCCAGCCUCUAAUCUUUUCCUUUGAUAAGUCGUAAGAUUCUCUCCUAUGAUGCUGGGCAUCAUAGGAGGCCUCAGGAGGGAGUGUUCUGGGAAGAGGUUGAAGAGAGGCCAGGAAAAAGCCAGGACAAAGGCAUAAUAUUCUGGAAGCUUUGCCUCCACGAGCGCUGGGUCUUCCAGAAGGACUAACUAGUGUAGGGCCAUGACUGCCCCUCGGCCAGCUCCCUGGGCUGCUCUCAGAGGCGGCAUUACAGCAGCAGAAUCGCUGCCUGUUCCUCCACACUGUGGAUUGUUAGCAGGUUCUAAAUAGGCCAUUCAUUUUUUCGGCUUAGCACAGAAGGGUCUCACAACUCCAAAUACCACCAUGGGCCCGGAUGUUGCAAGUCAAAACAUUCUUCAAACCACGGCCCUCGGGUGAGAGGACGGGCUGGCAAGGGCUCUGGAGGAUAAACAACCACCCACCAGCCCGGAAACCACCGGGUACACAGGAGGCCAGGCUGUCCUGCUCACAGAUGCUGGGGGUCUGAGGAGUUUUACCAGGCUUCAUCUCAUCCAACCACCAGUGCCUGCCUCCAUCUCCCCCGGGUCCCAGACAAUGAAACCUGUUCUCAGGGGGUGCUGAUUGGCUACCACUCGUCAUGUGUCCUGGUGGCUGCCUGUCUCAGCCGAUCAGCACUGUGAGCUGAGCACUCAGCGCCGGGCUGGACGGCAGGGCUCUGUGGGUAAAGGAUGCCAGCCUUCACUGUGCCUGAGUCCAGCAAGACAUGCAGCCAGUGUGGACACCCCGGUGGACACUCAUGUGCCUGGAAAUGAAGUUCCCGGGACAGGAGGCUGUGGGGUCUGAGAGCUGUGUGACGGGCCGAGGAUGCUGCAGUAAUGUGCAUGGGCACAGGGCUCCCAGGAAGGGUCUUGGGAGGAUCAGGCAGAAUGCUUCUGCUGGACACUCCUUGGGUGACCCUUUCCAGCCCCCACCGUCUCCUGGUUGUCCAGCAGGAGCACAGAAAAGCUCGAGAAGAGAGCAUCAAGCUUAGGAAGGCAGCGGGGGAGAAAGAAAGGAGGGAAGGAAUGAAAGCAAGGGGGACUUCCAGGAGUAAUGCUGCCAGAGAAGAGGUGACCGGGGUCCCAAGCCAUCAGGGAGCAGGGACCGGCUAUAUCUACUCCAGUGCCUUUCAAUGGCGCACGUCCUCAGUGAGGGCUUGCUGGAGGGAUUCAGGGAGGGGGAACGAAUUUAGGACUGCUGUUUCCAUUGAAGGAAGGGAAGGACAGGGCAUAAUGGAAGGAAGGUGGAGAAGGUGACUCCCUGGUGACCCUGACAAAGAGAGUUGCCAGUGUGCAAUGACCAUGGCAUGGUGACAGAAGGCUCACACCUGAGUGGCACUAAAACUGAAUAGCUACAGGCCAGGCCUCUCAGUGGGAUGGACUUGAAUUGCCACUGUGGCUCUACCACUUACUGCUGUGUGACCUUGGGCAAAUUACUCAGUCUCUCUGACACUCAGUUUCUUCAACCGUAAAAUAAAGAAUCAACAUUUCAUUUAUUGGGAGGAUUACAUGAGAGACCAGCCGGUCACUGCUAGGGACCAGGUGAUGACUUCCAUGCCACACUUCUCCUGUGCAGUGUGUACUUGGCCAGCGUUGGGCAGAGUGGGCUUCUGCUAAGAAGUCUAUUUCCCUUGGAGCUUGAGAUUGGGAGCACAGGAUUCACUGUGACCAUGUCCCGGUGUGUGAAGCGGCUUCAGUUUGCCCUGGGUCUUUCUCCUUAUCCUUGUGACUCUACUUAUUUAUAUCUUGGAGGCUCCUCAAGAUUUUCCUUCCCUAUCGCGCAGGGGAAAGGAGAACUGAGAGGCUUUGAGGCCAACUCUGUAGUCCCUAACAGAACCCUGUAGGGGACUGGGUCACCAGAAACCCUCUGUAUCAGCAGAGACACAAACACCAGAUAAUCUUAAGGAUAAAGGAAGUAUUAGGGUGAUUUAAAGCCUCCCCCUUUUCCUGUUUUGGGCACAGCCUGGGAGUAGGAGGGGAGCCGGGAGCUACCUGAGCUUCCAUUUGCAGCAUGAUGGAGCAGGGGCAGGGGCUCCUCCAUCCUGUGACCUCACACGCCAUCCACUUGAUCUUUAAAUCUAAAAUCCCUCUCACGUUGCAGUCUGACCGUGGGAGCCUUGCAUCCCUGUGGGUACCAGCCUGCGCUGGGUUUGUGACUGACAAGAAAUGUCCCCCUGGGAGUCUUCAGCUGACGCAGAAAGGCUCUGGGGAACUAGCCUGUGUUCCUCCCAGCACGCUCCCUGCUCUGUGGUCCCCACAGGAGAAGGAGGGUGGCAGAUGAGGCUUUGCAACUGCUGUUUGUGAGUCUGUCUGGGUGGGCUGUAUUUCACGGCUCUCAGUCCCAGAUAGGACAGCAAACCGUGAGAACCCAGCUUAUUGGAGUGAGUGCAAGAAAUUCCAGCCAGGAGCCUGCCCUGCAUGGGCCAAGUCCUGGGUCACAUUCCCCUUGGCAAUUCCCAAACUCACCAGGAUGAUCUUUCCUCAGCAGGGAUUCAACCACAGCAGCCCUGGUUGGGAUAACACCCUCCAACCCCCGCCAGGCAUUGGGUGUGUGAAUCCUGCUCUUCUGUGUGUUCGGCAGAGGGGACCCUGCAGAGAGGACCUGCAGCCACUGCCCUCUGUUCCUUGAGACCAGUGAUCUCUCCUUCACACGAGGGCUGUCUUGUGGGUGGGAUUUGUUUUCCCUGUGGUUCAUCAAUGGCAUCUAGGGAAGGGGCUCCUUCAUUCCCUGGGUGCUAAGAUCUGGCCUCCCGUAGUUAGGAGUGUUGGGAAGCAGCUGGUUCCAGUCAGAGCAGGAGCAGGCUCAGGCCCAGGUCAGCCUGGAGCAGGUAAAUCCCUGCCUGGCAUCGGGGUUGACAAUGGAGGUGGCCGGUUUCCUGUUAGGAGAUUUUCAGGAAAUUCUCCUUCAGAAAGGCUCAAGCAAAGGUGUUUCUGGAAGCCAGACAAACACUUGAUGGCUCUUAGCCUGCUGAGCUCUUGUCUUGUAGGGCUUGAUUCAUUCUCUUCUCCUGUUUCAAGAAGAGGGAUGGUCCUCUUGCUCCUUCCUGUGUCACCGGGGACUCCCUCUGCAGGGCCUGCUCUUCCUUGUGCCCUUUCCAGGGACAUUCUCUCCAGGGAGGGCUAUUCCUCCUCGGGGCUCUCACAGGCCCAGGGGGAGUGUGCUCACACGCCUGCACCUUGCUCUUCCCAAACAUCUCAGGGCUGUUUGCUAGGGACCAUCUCAGCGGCAUGCAAGGGGGCCAGUGGUCCUCAAGUCCCCUAAUCCCCACAGUUGUCUGGGGACACUUGAAAAUGCCAGACAAGUCCCCAUCCCCACCUCCAGGAACCCUUGAACUGAGCUGAUGUCUGGCGGUGGUACUGGGAAGGCAGAUGAGCCUAAUGUGCAGUGGUGGUGGAGGCCCACCAGACUAGACCCCUGGUGAACCAGCCAGGCUGCUCUGCCCACGUGGUGCCUGCUCUUGUAUAAUCAAUUGUAUAAUUGAUUGUACGGAGAGGCAGACUCUUAUCCUCUACCCAUCGCUAUUACUUAUCCAACUUCGAUAUCAUCCGAGCCCUCAAACUCUUGGGGAACCACGUUCUGUAUGGAGAGCUGCUGGGAGGCCUUUCUCCUCAGGUGUGUUGGGAGCUGUACGGAACAAUUCUUGCCUCCAAGACCAGGUGCUCUCCCUGUCCUCCAGGUCACUCUGCACCUGUCAAACCUCAUCUUCAACAUCUUCUAGAAUGCAGACCCUGGUUCCCAUACCUGGUGCCUGUCAGUCACCAUUCCAGAAGCUACAGACCACAUCUUUUGAGGGUCAGAUGUAACAGUUGGCAUGUGUAGCAUCUAUUGUCUAUUUAUUUCUCUAUCAAUCAUCUAUUUUUCAAUCAUCUUUCUCAUUUUUAAGCAGUCAGGUGAUUCUUCUCAUGCAUUUGCAGAUGGGACACUGUGACACGUCUUGGCAGUCCAUGUUGGUCAAAUUCUGGGGCCUGCUUGGCCCUGAGGGACUCUGGGACCUUGUGGAAAGUAGUCAUGCACAAGUCCGAGGGGGACAUGUGUGGGGAAUCCAGGGCCCAUGUAGCCCUACGGGAGAUGCAUGUGGAUGAGGUGAUUUAUGUCAAAUGGGAACACACCCAAGAAGACUGGAUGGUCUCAUCCAGGGCAAAAACCAUGAGCAAAAUCAUGAUCCCAACACACUGGUUAGUCUAGUUCCAUGUCCAGCUCACUGAAGCUAUGGGGCUUCAGAGGAAGGCACAGUCUGAGACUUCAGGGGUUUGCCAUCUAUGUGGGGAAACCAGAGAAAGGGAUGUAGAAAUCUGAGAUGAAACACAGAUUUGAAAAGCUAGCAGAGCUCCAAGCCAGCUGCCAGUGUCCCUGCCAUGAAGUUACCCAGGCCACCCUUUGUCCCUAGGAAAGAUGAUAAAACACCACAAGCAGGAGAUAAAGAGAAUACUGUCCAAACAUACAAACUACUACUUCCCCGUGGUUCAGCUAAUAUUUUACAAGAUUGGAACAUUGUUAAUCCUCACCCCCACCAUUUCCCUCCCUCUUUUCUUGCUCCCCUGAAAUUGGUAUUUAUCUGUCUUUGUGCCAUAAGGUAAGAGGCCGUUUGCCAGGCGGUCAAUUUUAAUUGGCCUGAAAAGGAAUCUCAGUCCAUAGUGGGAGAAAUGGGAGAAAAGAUGGUGGGCUUCACACAGGGAAAUGAAGAUGGGGAGAGUACUGCAGGUGAGGAUCAGGCCAGGGGAUGGAUGCUGGGUUCUGUUGGAGAGGAGGCAACUGGAUUAGAAUGUGAUGGGGUGAAGAGGAAGUUAGAGCUUUUUUUUUCUUCCACUAAUCAUGAGCUGUCAGGUAGGAAGUGGUGACUGGGCAGUGCACAGGGCAGAAGCGAUGGUGGCCUGUAGACCCUUGAGGAGCAGAUGCACCUGUCCCCCACAGAGUUCCCACACACCUGCCUAGAUCCAGUGCUGCUCUUCCAUCUUCCUUGGUUUUCUCCCUCCCUUUUCUCCACCUGUGGGGUGAGGCACUCUGCGAAGCUGGGCUUCCUCCUCCUCCAUCACUCGCGUCCCACUUCUCACCUCCUCUUUCCAAGCGAGAGCACCCCAGGCAUCAGGCCUGGGGCUUCCAUUCAGCUCCUACAGCAACCUGGAAGGAUGUUAGCAAGAGCUCAGGAAGGAGUACUGUGGGGAUCCAGAGGUCUCCUGACCUUGGCUCCUCUUUGGCACCAAGAAAGCUCUCCAAGUACCAAUCCCAGGCACAGGGGCGCAGUGCUGUCAGUGUAAGAGGUACGGGGCGCUGUUACAGAGCUCUGUCUGCCUGGCGGCCUCUGUGAGCCUCUGCUGGGAAAAACAGGUCUGUUUUGAAAGAACGAGCUCAGACUCGGGUUUAUUGUGGGCAGAUCCUUGAGCUUUUGCCUUGUUUGACAGCUCGUAAAACCCAGCAGCAAAUUUGAAUUUCCAGUUCCAUGACUUGGAGAAAAAACCCUGGGAACAGUUAUCAGCUUUCUGGUCACUCCGGGUGGGG
This 7139-nucleotide long non-coding RNA is filed under the name Marmota monax (woodchuck). The record is from RNAcentral. Lineage: Eukaryota; Metazoa; Chordata; Mammalia; Rodentia; Sciuridae.